CUGUUGGCUCAGCUGCUGCUGCAGGUGCUGCUGCUGCUGCAGGUGCUGCUGCAUGUGGUGCUGGAAAUGCUGCUGCUGCAUCUGCUGCUGGAUCUGCUGAUGCAUGUGCUGCUGGUGGAGCUGCUGCUGCUGCAUCUGCUGCUGCUGCAGCUGCUGCAGCUGCUGCAAC
Non-coding RNA from Podarcis lilfordi (Lilford's wall lizard), 169 nucleotides. NCBI's taxonomy places the organism in Eukaryota, Metazoa, Chordata, Lepidosauria, Squamata, Lacertidae. The record is from the annotation of a GenBank genome assembly.